UCAAAACAUCGCCUCCUGCAAAAACCCACGUAUAGGAGGUCCUACCUGCCCAGUGACUAAGUUAAACGGCCGCGGUAUUUUGACCGUGCAAAGGUAGCGCAAUCACUUGUCUUUUAAAUAGAGACCUGUAUGAAUGGUGAAACGAGGGCUUAACUGUCUCCCUUUUCUAAUCAAUGAAAUUGAUCUACCCGUGCAGAAGCGGGUAUAAAUAUACAAGACGAGAAGACCCUAUGGAGCUUAAGACAUAAAGUCACCUAUGCCAAAUCAACAAGUUAAAAGGAAAAAGCAAAUUAGUUAUUGACUUACGUCUUCGGUUGGGGCGACCGCGGAGAAAAAAAAAUCCUCCAUGUGGAAUGAGACAAUCUAAACCACGAGGUACACCUCUAAGUCACAGAACUUCUGACCAAACGAUCCGGCACUAGCCGAUCAACGAACCAAGUUACCCUAGGGAUAACAGCGCAAUCCCCUUCAAGAGUCCAUAUCGACAAGGGGGUUUACGACCUCGAUGUUGGAUCAGGACAUCCUAAUGGUGCAGCCGCUAUUAAGGGUUCGUUUGUUCAACGAUUAAAGUCCUACGU
This 578-nucleotide ribosomal RNA is filed under the name Moenkhausia copei. RNAcentral's name for it is "partial 16S ribosomal RNA". It matches the Rfam family "Bacterial large subunit ribosomal RNA", at positions 1808 to 2601 of the family's 2925-position model. Lineage: Eukaryota; Metazoa; Chordata; Actinopteri; Characiformes; Acestrorhamphidae. The record is from RNAcentral.